This 253-nucleotide ribosomal RNA is filed under the name uncultured bacterium. Its description in RNAcentral is "partial 16S ribosomal RNA". It matches the Rfam family "Bacterial small subunit ribosomal RNA", at positions 524 to 776 of the family's 1533-position model. The record is from RNAcentral.
UACGGAGGGUGCAAGCGUUGUUCGGAUUCAUUGGGCGUAAAGGGUGCGUAGGCGGCGUGGUAAGUCGGGCGUGAAAUUUCGGAGCUUAACUCCGAAACUGCAUUCGAUACUGCGGUGCUUGAGGACUGGAGAGGAGACUGGAAUUCAUGGUGUAGCAGUGAAAUGCGUAGAGAUCAUGAGGAAGACCAGUGGCGAAGGCGGGUCUCUGGACAGUUCCUGACACUGAGACACGAAGGCCAGGGGAGCAAACGGG